RNAcentral lists this ribosomal RNA (116 nucleotides) under Pteropus alecto (black flying fox). The record is from RNAcentral. Lineage: Eukaryota; Metazoa; Chordata; Mammalia; Chiroptera; Pteropodidae.
GUCUAUGGCAGUGCCACCCUAAACGAGCUAGAUGUCUGAUCUCGGAAGCUAAGCAGGUUUGGGCCUGGUUAUUACUUGGAUGAGAGACCACUUAGGAAGACCAUGUGCUAUAGGCA